Long non-coding RNA from Cygnus atratus (black swan), 1301 nucleotides. RefSeq lists it as uncharacterized. The record is from RefSeq and is a predicted model, not a curated record. The transcript has 4 exons. Lineage: Eukaryota; Metazoa; Chordata; Aves; Anseriformes; Anatidae.
GCUGGCAAUGCUGGUAUCAGAACACCAUAUGCUGGAAAUCAUUUAUGUAUCUGGCACGAAAUACCUGGGAGAAGGAGAGACCCCAACUUUGAGUUGCAGCAUCAGGCAUUGACAGAGUCAGACCUCACAAACACAGGCCCCCUGGUACAAAAAAACAAAGAAGCAAAACAAUGAGACUGGGUUUGGAGAGGAGAUGAAGCACUCGCACCUUUCCCGAAGAGCAGACCCCAAGGCAAAAGUCAUGUCCUUUCUGCUGUUGAAAAUUCAGAAGUCAACCAGACAGCGGCCACUAUCAGUGCAGGGCUAAAAUAAACGAUACUGACCUUACAGCUGUGGGCCACCUCGUUAGAAUGAAUGUAACUGACAGAUGAUCCUUCAAUACAACCUCUGAGAAGUGAUGUUGCACUAGUCACAGUCUGGGACUUGUACCAUGAAAACACAGUUUGUGAAGUCUGAGCUGCUUUGCUUGAAAACAAGAUAACGUUCCUGAGAUGCUGUAAGAACAACAACAUCUUACUGCACAUGAUGAAUAUCUGGGAUUCACGUUGUGUUUCAUGGCACACUUCAAGGUUCUGGGGACUGAUUUCUGGACUUCCUGGUAUUGGUUCACUGGAAUUAUUCACUUUACCUGUUAAUCCCAUCCACAUCCUAUGGGUAGAGGAAUAUUAAUUCGUCAUUUCUUUUCUAGUCCUGAAAGUGAAAUUCUCUUGCAUCCGAUGUCAGUUCUUCCAGGUUUUGCCUUCAUUCAGGUGACAGAUUUCUCAAUGUCUUACUCUUUGAAAUGGAGAGAUGGUUUCUUUCCAACUGUACGUUCUGGGACUUGCCUCCAUGCAGGGAGGAAGGUUUUCCCUUUCUGCAACAACUCCCCAUGCAAAGAAGGAUUUCCUCAGAUGGAUUCCAGUUGUUAUUUUAUUGCAAGUCAUUUGAGAAAUACAGAACAUACGCUCCUCUAACAACUUUCCCAGGCAUUAAAAAAAAAAAUAGAUCUUAGCCUAAGCCCAGGACUGUGUGUCUGUGUACACACAGAGAUGGAGGAACAAGUGUUUCCUUUUUAAAGCCUCUGUUAAAGUCACUGUCCAAACUGGACUUAAAUAUCGUCCAUUUGUAGAUGGUGAUCUCUUUGGAGCAGGGACCACACCUCUUUUUCUCUUUGGGAGACCUCUUCACACCAUGCAAGCUAGAAUGGGGAUUGCACAGGAAGCAGAAAUGAAGCUGAUUUCUAACUAAGCGUUCUGCAAACAGAAACCAAACCCAGGCAUAUCAUUUUCCUCUAACUCAGGGAUGUUUUGAAAUGCUGUUUU